Molecule: long non-coding RNA, 437 nt
Filed under: Prunus dulcis (almond)
Lineage: Eukaryota; Viridiplantae; Streptophyta; Magnoliopsida; Rosales; Rosaceae
Description: sRNA ncRNA
Source: RNAcentral
UUUCCACCCGUUUUCUUAACGGCAGGUUGACACGAAAAUGACAUAAAAAUGCCAACACUACACGAUUGCCAGGUCUGACAAUGCUAGAAGCAUAAAACUGCUAUUCUGCUCAUUUUUGGGGGUUAUUUGUUUUUUUCUUUUGAACUCUUUUUCGUUUUUCUUUUUGGUGCACUGUUCAAUUUUGUUUCUAUUGCAUUCAAGUCUUCUUUCUAUAGAAGAUACCCAUGAAUGGUCUCUGCAGUUUCAUUUCAUUUAGAAAUGUCACAGGAAUCCCUAUUUGUUGUGCUUUGUUUUAGGGCUCUAGACUUUAGAUAGUUUGUUAAUAUGACCCUGUUUGAUUUAAUUUUUCACUUUUGUGGUUUGCUGUUUCGUGCUUUGUUUUGGUAUUGGGUUUUUCUGUGAUUGUAUGUAAAAAUAUUGUUUGUUUUGAUAUUGGG